AACGCACAUUGCGCCCCUUGGUAUUCCAUGGGGCAUGCCUGUUCGAGCGUCAUUUGUACCCUCAAGCUAUGCUUGGUGUUGGGUGUUUGUCCUCUCCCUUGCGUUUGGACUCGCCUUAAAGAAAUUGGCAGCCAGUGUAUUGGUAUAGAAGCGCAGCACAAUUUGCGAUUCUAGCUAAUAAUUACUUGCAACCAUCAAGUCUAUUUAACACUUUUGACCUCGGAUCAGGUAGGGAUACCCGCUGAACUUAA
Molecule: unclassified non-coding RNA, 251 nt
Filed under: uncultured fungus
Lineage: Eukaryota; Fungi
Also listed under: 1 other name
Description: partial contains 5.8S ribosomal RNA, internal transcribed spacer 2, and large subunit ribosomal RNA
Source: RNAcentral